AUCGCUUCUCGGCCUUUUGGCUAAGAUCAAGUGUAGGAAUUGAUUCAUCUUAUAUCAUUUUGAUUACACAAAAUUGUUUCUCCAUGGCUUUUUGUCUUCAGUAGAAACCCUUGAGGGUUUUUCAAAUCCUUG
Fukomys damarensis (Damara mole-rat) is the source of this 132-nucleotide non-coding RNA. NCBI's taxonomy places the organism in Eukaryota, Metazoa, Chordata, Mammalia, Rodentia, Bathyergidae. The record is from Rfam.